UGAAGGCCCAUUAUCUGUUAAAUUCAUGAAAUCCCUGUGUGAUUUUGCUCAUAAUUUAGCAAAAGAAUCAGAGUGCAGCGUGGUCGCAACGGAGGUAGCGAGCGGUGAGCCGUUAAGGUUAGCAAUCCCGCACUGGAAGAAACUAUCAUGCGCUGAGGACCUAUGGUGCAUGAAACGACUUGGGGAAGAAUACAGUGACGGGUCUGUAGGUGACUGGACAAAAUCACAACCUGGUCUUUCUAUAUUUGUUGAUCCUAGAGAAGUCUAACUUUAUAAAAUACUAGUAGAGGGCUCCAUAGUAGGGAAUCUAAUUUUAGAAGUUCAAAGAAAAAAGCAGCUGCUCGUAAAGUUGAUAUUUCCCUUUUAGUAGCUUCCUGUUUUUUCUUUUCCUUUUUAAAUUUCCAAGUAUUUAGAUAUAAGUUGGAUGAAGCAAAUAUGUAUGAUAUAAAAAUAUGAUAAAAACUUUGUUUUGUUGUUCAUUAGUUGUAAAGGAG
This 494-nucleotide unclassified non-coding RNA is filed under the name Hevea brasiliensis (rubber tree). The record is from RNAcentral. Lineage: Eukaryota; Viridiplantae; Streptophyta; Magnoliopsida; Malpighiales; Euphorbiaceae.